GACGAACGCUGGCGGCGUGCCUAAUACAUGCAAGUCGAGCGAAUCAAUAGGAGCUUGCUCCUGUUGGUUAGCGGCGGACGGGUGAGUAACACGUGGGCAACCUGCCUGUAAGACUGGGAUAACACCGGGAAACCGGUGCUAAUACCGGAUAAUCCUUUUCCUCUCAUGAGGAAAAGCUGAAAGUCGGUUUCGGCUGACACUUACAGAUGGGCCCGCGGCGCAUUAGCUAGUUGGUGAGGUAAUGGUUCACCAAGGCGACGAUGCGUAGCCGACCUGAGAGGGUGAUCGGCCACACUGGGACUGAGACACGGCCCAGACUCCUACGGGAGGCAGCAGUAGGGAAUCUUCCACAAUGGACGAAAGUCUGAUGGAGCAACGCCGCGUGAGCGAUGAAGGCCUUCGGGUCGUAAAGCUCUGUUGUUAGGGAAGAACAAGUACCGGAGUAACUGCCGGUACCUUGACGGUACCUAACCAGAAAGCCACGGCUAACUACGUGCCAGCAGCCGCCGCGG
RNAcentral lists this ribosomal RNA (512 nucleotides) under uncultured bacterium. RNAcentral's name for it is "partial 16S ribosomal RNA". It matches the Rfam family "Bacterial small subunit ribosomal RNA", at positions 28 to 523 of the family's 1533-position model. The record is from RNAcentral.